UCGGUUACAUCCGAACUUAGCCCUUCCUUACUUGUUAAUUCUUAGAACUAUUGCUGCGAUAUUGGCAGCAAAACUUAUAUGAUAACAAGAUUGGAAUAUCAUACACUAAAGCAACUAACAAGUGUUGAAUGUCCUUCUUUCAGUUAAAAUUUCUUUUCCCGCCAGAAUUGGAAGAGGCGAAUUGGAUAACUUUUUUUGCAUUCACAUGUCAUUUUUUUGACAAUAGAGCACAAACCAGCAAGCAGAGAUGUGAUUCGCCACAUUGGGUACAAAUCUGCUCAUAGUUAACUUAAGCGACAUUAACCUCACUUGUAAAUAUAUUAAUAUUAUAUAUUAUACUUCUUAAACAUAGGUAUGGCAUAGUCGGUUGAAUUAUAAGGGGUUUUGUGAUUAUUUGUAUGAGUGUCUGCGAGCUGCAACGUUUACGUUUAAGUUACUUAAAUAGCUUAUGGGUGAGACUAAUAAAAUUGCAAAGCCAAUGAAAUGUAUAGUUUUAAGAAUAUUUAAAAAAAAUUACAAAGAGACUCAACAACUACUAACAACUAACUACAGCUACUGUUGAAGCAUGUGGAAACAAACUUGGUGUGGGCAUGCGUGUUUAAUUAAUUAAGUGCAUAUGUAUGGUGCUCGCAAUAUGGGCUUAUAACCUUCAAACAAGAGUGCUGUAAAUGAGCAAGUACUACGAAUCCAGAACAAAUUUUUUGCAUACUGCAACUUAUUUACUUUCUCACCUGUCCAUCGCCAACUUCGCCUGGUCUCAAUAACUGUAAUUAGUGCAUGGUCAAAAACACAAAUUAAAAAAAUGUAAACAGUCAAGGGUGGACAUUUAUGUACAUAUGUAUAAAAGUGUUUUCUGUGUGAGGUUGUGCUUUGUUUAAACCACUAAGUCAAAAACUAAGUACGUGUGUAAUACGAAAAGACAUAUGUGCUGUGAAUCUUGUUAAAAUUUACACCCGAAGCAUUAUUAAAAAUCAUAAAAAUGAUUCCUUCAUGUCGAGUUUUUGCGUAUCAUGACGCCCAGGUAAUGUUCAGUAUUUGGUGGGAUCAGAAGGGCGUGCUGUGCCGUGCUUCUAAAGCCGUGUGAAACCAUUAAUAGGGAACGCUACCGACAACCGGAAUUUGCGACCAGACAUAAGGCAACAAUUUUCCAUUAUGACAACGCUCGGCCUCAUGCUGCACGACGGGUUAAUACCUAUUUGGACAAUAGAUACAGAACGCCCUCUCUGGAAUAUGGUUUAUAUCAGAACAUUUUAUUCAUAUACAACAAUGUUAUUAACAAAAUUAAUUAUGAUUACAAUGAAUGCGCUAACAUGUUUGUGAAAAUAAAUUUUUUUCUAAAAACUGUGGUUGGAAUGGAGAAAAAAUCAUCGAACUCGUAAGAAUUUCAAAGCAAGUAACAAAGAAUGGCUUGAUGAUGAGCUUAUAUUAAUGGACUUUGACUCAAAGUGCUGGAUGACUCAAACCUAACUUUACAGAUUUUCUAGGAAAAAAACAAAUAACGAAAUUUCCGAUGCCUGCGAAGAUCUGCGGUCAGUACUAGAUUGUACAACUAAGGUAAGUGAAGUGCUUUUUAGAUGAUAUCGAUUGAACUCCAAUGGCACUUCGUUCAAUAAAAUAAAGUCACCAAAUCAAUCAGAUAUCCAUCACUAACCUAUUAAAUACCAACAAAACAGAGGAAGCCCCAGCUUUAUAUAUUGUUGGUGGUUACUCAAAGAAAAAUUGUAUGCAUUUGCGGAGUGGUACCAAAUGCAAUUAUAUUUCUGACGUGUGAUAAUCUGCGGUCUGCAAAAGAAACUUCAGUUUCCGCUUCUAAAAAGAAUGAACUAAUAGAUAAAGAUAUAAUCAGAAAGUUUAAUUUUAGGUUUGUUUUUCAAAUUCCGAAUUUCGUAAAUAUAUAUUUUUAAAUAUUAAAUAAAAAUAGAAUCAAUUAUCUACAAAAUAAAAUUAUUCGUACAAAAAUAGCAUAAUUUUUUCUGAAGCUGUUAAUAA
Bactrocera oleae (olive fruit fly) is the source of this 1989-nucleotide non-coding RNA. NCBI's taxonomy places the organism in Eukaryota, Metazoa, Arthropoda, Insecta, Diptera, Tephritidae. The record is from RefSeq and is a predicted model, not a curated record.